AUAUAUUCCAGAUUAAGUUUUUCCCCUUAGAGUUAAAAAGCAGUGGGAACUGCUUGAUUCUUAUAAGCUAGAGAGUUUUACAUACUUAAAAUAUUGUGUUUCUCCUUAACAACUCUAAAAUAAAAAAAAAACCAUAUAUAUAUAUAAAUUGAAGAGUCUAAAGAGCACAAAUAUAAGGAAAAUGACUCUGCAAAAUAGCACUGUGAGAUUUCUUUUUCUCUCAGAGAUAUAUAUCAGUCUCAAAGGAAAAGUAAAUUACUCUUUAAUAAUUAACCUUGCUGAACACCAAGCUUGAGUUGAAUUAAUCACAUUAAUAUUGUAUAUCUUUCCCAUCAUAGGAAACAAUACUAAAAAAAAAAAAAAUUGAACUUCAGUGUAAUUUUUAGUGUGAUGAUUGCAUGUGUUUGUUAAGUGUCCACCCGCUCUGCUUCUGGGAUGCUCACAGUACUCUCCUCCCCAGCUUCCCAGCACCUCACUGGCUGCUACCCCCUUCUUCAUCCAUUGGGAAAAGAAACGUAGUCCUAAUCAGGUAGCAUCUGUGUUGUGGGGAUCUGUGCCUGUGGGUCCCAAGAAAAGGGGAGAUUGUUAGGAUGUGCCCAUAGCUCUCUGGGAAGCUGGCUGAGAGAGCACUAACUUUUCUGGUCCUGGCAGAAAGCUGCAGAUUGUGAUGAAUAGGGUGGGUAUAUCUGUGAGACCAGGAGCUUAUGGAAAUACACAAAGUGAGACAAACUGAUGGCAAAGAUAUAGCCAUACUUCUGUAGUUGUAGGAAUGCUCAUCUGGCCUUCUACAGUCAAGAAAAACUGGAUACCUCCUGCAGCAUUAAGAUGGUUUAGAAAAUGUUAGACUUCAGCUACCCAAUGGAAAUCACUCAGUCCCACAUCUCUGGUGCUCUCAGCCAUAUGAUAACCAUAGCAUUUUUGUUUCAAAAUUGUGAUAGGGAGGAUGUCUCAUCACUCCAAGCAUAAUGUGGCCUCAUUUCUCCCUUUAAUGGGUCUUCUUUCAGGCCUGGGGAGAAAAAAAAAUGAUGUUUUUUCUAGUUUUUGCCACAUCAGGCUUGGUGUAUCUGGACAUAGGAUGGCUGUUUUAGUAGCUGGAGAAUCUGCACCCUCUGGCAGAGGGAGGACCGAGAUUGCUCAAGGAUCUGGCGUGUGACAGAAAGGUUCCUUGCCACAAUGGUAUGUGAGGAGAAGCUGGUCUGAUUGUUCCAUGUUGUGUGGAGGAAGAAGCAGCUGGGAAGCAGAGCGAGGCUGUGAGCCAGACCAAAGGUGUACAGUGAAUUUGCAGCUGUGCAAACAUCAGCCUGUGUUCAUUAACUUUCAUGAGCACAGAUUGAAGCCAUAUAUACACAAAACCUUUGAUUCUGGGCUUCAGUCCCAGUAGGACUUGAUAGUUUGCAUUUAGUUAGAGCAAGAUUCAGAGCUGGUAUAAGGAGGUGAUCCUUUGUCUUAGACAGGCCAGCUUCUAGAAUCUGAAGAAGCAGGCCAUGCUAAAUAGAAAUUGAAUUAGAUAUUGUGACUUUUUUUUGGUACCUUAUUCUGGCUUUCAGUUUUAAAAGUAGGCUAUUAAUUGUGUGGUAAGAAGCUUUGUGAUUUAUGCAGCAAAGCUGAGUCCAUAUAGACACCAUUUUCCUUUGUACUUGUGCAUGGAAAUCGGUAUGGAUUGUCUUCCAAAGUAUUGCUUUCCCUGGCACUUUCCUGUUGUUACUUGUGUGGAUCCCAUUAAAAAGGCAAACGUGUGUGUAUGUUCACUCACAUGACAGACACGGCCACUGCAGAGGCUCUCUGAAAAUUCACUGAACUUCAGCAAUCUGGUAGCUUCAGCAGAUUUCCUAAGGAGAGACACAUGUAGUCAAGGCCAGGAUCUGUUCCACCUAAAUAAAUAAAUAAAGGUUACAUAUCCCGGAA
Long non-coding RNA from Tympanuchus pallidicinctus (lesser prairie-chicken), 1905 nucleotides. RefSeq lists it as uncharacterized. Lineage: Eukaryota; Metazoa; Chordata; Aves; Galliformes; Phasianidae. The record is from RefSeq and is a predicted model, not a curated record. The transcript has 2 exons.